UGGGAGCGUGGACCCUUGUCCCCGGUCUCAGAGCUGUCAAGAGAAGCCAGAAGCCCACAUUUUUAUGUGAGCUCUUAUGAUUUUUAAAUCUUGCAAUUAAUAUGAUUCUGAAAUAGGGCAUAUUUCUCAGGAUAACACGGUGGGAUGACAAAGCCCAGAGGCAAGCCAGAGGAAUUCAGAGGCCCUCCGUUUGUGGCCUUGUCUUAAAACUUCAGAGAGUUGAGCUGGACUGUAAGGUUGUUAUUUGUAAUAGAGACCGAUGAAUGCAUCUUGGCGUCGUGUGCAUGUGUGUGCCCCAAACAGUGAAGAAACAAAACCACGGGGGAAGGCUGUUAGAAACACAGGAGGAAGUCAGACACACACACUAGGUGGGCGUGGGCUCGGCAGGCCGCUCUGGGAGGUGGCACCCUAGUGCACAGAGCCCAGAGUGCUGAGCUCACCCCAGAGACAGGAGCAGGCAGCACAUGGGAGCUGUAGCCCCAGCUGCAGUGGGGUAGGGGACAGGCCAGGUCAAGGGAAGGGCCUGGGUAACCGGGACCUAGAGAAAGUCACUGGCCAAUAGUGGCCAGGCCACAAACCUGAGCCCAGCCUGCAGCCUACCUUUGUUGGACGUAGCACACAUGCCAUACAAUUCACCUCUUGAGGUCACAGCCCUUUGGCUAUCAGUGGAUUCACAGAUGUCAGGCCACCACCAGCAUAGGUGACUUCAGAACACUUUCUUCUCCCUGGGAAGGAUGCCUGUGCCCAUUCUGCCCUCCACCUGCCCUGUGCAGACACUAACCUGCUUUCUGCUCUAUGGAUCUGCCUGUUCUAGACACUCCAUAUUAAUGGAGUCAUCCCACCCAGGGCGUUGUGCAGGCUAGGCUGGUGAGCCACAUCAUGGAGCCUCACCCCCAGUCCCAACACGUGGCCUUUGUAUCUGGCUUCUUCCACCCAGUGCCUUAGUCGAUUCCUGCUGCCAUGGUAAAAUACCUGAGGCAGGGGGUUUAUGAGAAGAGACAGGUAUUGCUCACGGUUCUGGAGGCCAGGAAAUCCUGACGGAAGCAACAGCGGGUUGGGUGUCUUUGUGAAGUGCCGUACCUCACAGAGGGUGCAACUGGCUGUCCUCAUGUGGCAGUAGCCUACUGAAGGUGAAACGUUUCUCACUGUGGGUGUUUGUUUUUGUGACAAUAGGGAUCUAACCUAGGCCCUCAUGCAUGCAAGGCAAGCACUCUACCUCUGAGCUACAUCCCCAGCCCUCACAGUGGCCUUGAUUUCUAUUUUCUCUGUUGACUAAUGCUACGGAACAUCUCCCCAUGUGCUGGACAGCCAUUUAUACAUCUUCUUUGGCAAAAUGUGGGCAUUGCCAUCAUGCACGUGGUUCUCUAUGUGGUACCUAUUUCAGGUCUCAGCCCUGUCAUGAUUACUGCUAUUUUGUAAAAGCACUGCUGUAGAGCUUUCUGACCCAACGCAGCCUCCACCACUGGUUCUCUAGACCCCCACUGUGUGUGGUGCUGUCACCCCAGCAGUGUAGACAUCACUAAUCACCGUGGCACUCAGAGAUUCAUCUACUGGGUCCCAGGGGAUGGCCAAUGGGACAGGUUUCUGUCUUGAGGGAUGAUCUCACAGAGAUGAGAAAAGACAUGAAUGGACCUCGGUCUUCAAGUGCUGCACUAGAAAUCUGCAGAGGCAGUGUGGGGUCCACGUGGGGUGCAUUAGUUCUCCCAGAAGGAUAUUCCACCAGAGGUGGCUGUGGAGAUUUGGGAGUCUAAUCAAUAACAGCCCAAGUAUCCAGAGUUGGAAAGUGACAGGUGUUGGCAGGAGUGUGGAGGACCGGAGCUGUGGAGCUUCACUGGAAGGAAGGAAAACGUGCAGCUACUGUGGGGAGCAGGGCGGCUCCUGAAUAGCUGAACGCAGACCACGUGAGCAGGUGAUCGAGUGCGAGCAGGGACUCUCCAACUUGUGAACUGUUCAGAGUGGCACCAGUCACAGUAGGCAAAGGCAGAACCCGUCGAGUGUCCAUCAACAGAUGAGUGGACAAACAAGAUGUGGCCUGUCGCCCGCCGGCCACCAAGAGGAACAGAGCUCUGACACACGCUAACAAUGGAUGAUGCUGAGGGGCAGGUCCCCGCCCGACUCCAGGGACUCCCUGCUCUGGCUCUGAGUGUUUGGGGGCUCUGCGGGGUGGGCUUCCAUGACUUCCAGGAGAGCCCCCCCCCCCAGAGGAGGCACACCCAGGUAUCCCAGGCUGUCUCGGGCGACCAGCUCCUCCUGCUUUCAGUGCUUCAAGUCCCACGUUCAGGGAGCCUUUCUGUUCCAGGCUCUUGGCCACCCUAGUUGUCCUGAUUCCAGGCUCGGGGCCUUCCCAGGGUUGGAGCCAGGCGGGCUGGCCCUGGGCCAUGGAGCUCUUUCUUUGUUGGACUCCUGUGGGUGGCACCAGGAGGGUGACCUCUUUCAGGCUUAAGCUGAAGUAGAACAGUGGUGCCAAUUAGCAGAGCCUGCGAAUGGGCCAUGGCCUCUCUGCUGACGUCCUGGGACAUGGAAAGUUCUUCGCGCAAUCUUCUUUCCCUGGUGAUCUGGACACAGGGGGUCCUCAGAUUGCAGAGCCAGGCACAAUAAGAGGCUUGCCUUGCUCUGUCCCACCCAAGGACAACGCCCUGAACCUGCUCUGCACCAAGGCCCAGGCCUGGGCAUUUGCUUGCACAUGACCCCCACCUCCCAGAGGGCAGCUGAGAGGGGGACGGAUGCAGUAAGGGAAGAGCCCUGGCUGGGAGCUGAGGAACCUCUGUGGUCCAGGUUGUGCUCUGCCGGCUAGUCAGGUGAGCUUGGCCGUUUCCUUCCCCAUGUUCAGUCCCCUUUCCCUUGAAAGCAAACUUGAGGGUUGAGGGAGCCAGAUGCUCUCUCAGGGUCUGACCUGCUGACAGUAGGGCCUGGAAUGUGCUUCUUGGAGGCCCCUCACAUGACCUGGCUCUCUGUGGUCAGGGCCCAGGCUGCUCUGCUCCUCCCAUAGGCAACUACUGAAGGAUCUGGAAGAGGACUGACCUGUCUUGGAACUGACCCUCUGACUCUGCAAAGUUCCUGCAAACCCCCCUGGAGCCAGGGGUAAGAGGGGGAGCCAAGAGAGGCCUCCUUCCUUUGUACCUUCACCUGCCCUCUUCCUGAGACAGCUGCCCGCUCUGCCAUGCCUUUUCCUCCGUCUCUGUCCUGUGUCCCUCCUCCUCAUGGGGUCUGCUCACUGUCAAGAGUGGAAGGGUGGGCCUGGGUACAGCACAGCACAUGUGUAGCAUGCAACAGGCCCCGGGGUUCCAUGCGCAGCAUCACAGACAAAACAACAACACGUCGAGGCCUAACAGGAAUAACUCUGCCUGGGAGUCAGGGACCUAAGGCUGCUUGCCUUAUAUGUAACCUUGGUUUCUAGACCUCAGCCUGCCCAUGUGCAAAGUGGGGGUGCAGGAGGAUGAAUCUAAGGUGCCCACCUGCUCUGACUCUAGGCUCCUUGGACUCCUCCUCAGCCUCCAGUCAUUGGGCGAUGUCUGCUGUUUUUAUUAUUAAUUUUUAAUCUUGCGACUUCCCUGGGAGCGUCAUGUAGGAAGGGCCAAGUCUCGAGGUGCACAGAGCUUCCUUUGUCUCAGGCCUAAGCUUUUGCAGAAAAAAAAAGAAAAAGAGAAAGAAAUCUACCCUUUCAUUUACCCUCUUCCUCUCCUGAUAAGGAAACAGCCUGCGGCGAGGAUGGCCGAGCUUCACGGUGUCAAUUCAGAGCCAUAGGAAGGUACUUAGGAAAGAUCCUCCUCUGCCAGGCUGCCACCGUCCUCUUGGCCGCGGCCUCCAGGGGGGCUGUGGGAUCAGCUGACACUAGGGCAGGAGUUCUCUCCAGGAGCUGCAAGUUGUCACUGGAGGGAAACUCACCUGUUGCAGGUUGCAGCCACGUGGGACUGGGCUUGUGGAGGACCCGCCCUGUGCUGGGGGGGAGACUUGGAGGAGGAGUCAGCAGAGGCAGGCGUGGAAUCACCCAACCUCACACUCAUCCAGGACUAGCCCCCGAUGCUGGCACCAUCAGCAGGUUCCUAUUGAUUGCCUCAUUUGAUCUGUAGAAGGUCAUGUGCGGUGUGCAGGCUGGUGGCUGCCACCCACCGUACAGACAGAACAGGGCUGCGGCAUGCCUGGGUCACAUGGAGUGGGGGCUGCCUGACCCCUGGCCAGCUCUGUCUGCAUCUGCCAUUUCCUGGUGUACUGUAGGUGACCCAAUGCCUGUGACUCAAGGGGGCCCCUAGAUGAAAGCAGAGGGGCUGUGGGGCACCUCACAGGGCAUGGUCAAGGCUUUCCCAGGCAUCCAGCCAGUCCAGCAUGGUGUGGUGCUAAGGUCCCGGGGCAGGCUGUAGGAGGCUGGCACCACCUUCCUGGGUGGACAGCAUGAAGCACUGUGGUUCAGACAUCUUCCUGUGCUGGGUAAUACAGCAGCCAGUCUCCCUUUCACAAGUUCCCAGCCCUCUGUCACCAAUGCUCCCAGCCCUUGUCCGUGCCCACCAUCACCCUCAGUGGGUGUGAUGAAUCAGCCGCACACUCCCUGGGAGGAGAGGGCAAAGGCCACGAUUCCAAAGAUACCAGA
Molecule: non-coding RNA, 4585 nt
Organism: Marmota flaviventris (yellow-bellied marmot)
Lineage: Eukaryota; Metazoa; Chordata; Mammalia; Rodentia; Sciuridae
Source: RefSeq, a predicted model, not a curated record